UUUCUGGGAACCAUCUACAUGAAGCGACUGUGCAGACUGCACAGAAGCGGAUAAGACAUCUGUUUAGUGUCGGCCUAGUCUGCGGACGAAGCUGAUCGCGCAUGCAGGUGUUUUUGAGCGAAAGCUCUCCCCUUUGGGGCGUAAACAUUUGGCGAUGGAGUGUUCCGGGUAAAGCAGCGCUUAGUUUACUAAGGUUGUGUAGCCCAAGGAGCGUCCAUUACCAGGAUGGCUCUGAAAAGAGUCAGAACUCCAACAGGACUGGGUUGCUAUUUUAGCACCCGGGAAAGUUGAGAGGUUUGUAUGGAUGCGCGAUGCGUAACGAUAGCUCUACACGUCUCUAGCAAGAAACUCCUGCAAAAACCAGCUCGUCUGGGCGGGAAUACUUGCACCGAAGAUGUACCUGCUAAGAAUCAAUUCGCAAUUGCGUUUUGUUUUCUAGGCUGGUGCUUCUAGGAAGAGCGAUGAGAGGGCCAUAAAAACCAGGGACGCCUAUCAGCUUUUGCUGAUAGUGUGUCCACUGGCGGUUCCUUCGGAGCCAUGGUUCUAUCUGAGAACUCCGUUCUCACGUAACAGAGCAAUCAGCUUGCUGGUCGCUCUGUUGCUACGAUAGA
This 611-nucleotide unclassified non-coding RNA is filed under the name Cyanophora sudae. The record is from RNAcentral. Lineage: Eukaryota; Glaucocystophyceae; Cyanophorales; Cyanophoraceae.